AUGUCUUAGGUAUAAUAAAAACAUAUUCAGACACAACAAAUACACCAGGACUUACAAAUAUAUAUAACAUGGAGAAAAUUGCACUACUGGGCACUAUACACACCCGACGCAAAACACUUUAAAUACAGUAACCAUACGAGCA
Long non-coding RNA from Octopus sinensis (East Asian common octopus), 142 nucleotides. RefSeq lists it as uncharacterized. NCBI's taxonomy places the organism in Eukaryota, Metazoa, Mollusca, Cephalopoda, Octopoda, Octopodidae. The record is from RefSeq and is a predicted model, not a curated record. The transcript has 4 exons.